ACACGGACCAAGGAGUGCAAGAGGCGUGCGAGUCUUUGGGUUGUUGCCAAACCCGCGGGCGUAAUGAGAGUGAAGGGAGCGUCUAGCUCCCGAGGCGAGAGCCCGCUGCACUGCGGGCGCAUCGUCGACCGAUCCCGGGCUACGCUGUGGCGGGAUUCGAGUGAGAGCGUGCCUGUUGCGACCCGAAAGAUGGUGAACUAUGCCUGAAUGGGGCGAAGCCAGAGGAAACUCUGGUGGAAGCUCGCAGCGGUUCUGACGUGCAAAUCGAUCGUCAAAUUUGGGUAUAGGGGCGAAAGACUAAUCGAACCGUCUAGUAGCUGGUUCCCUCCGAAGUUUCCCCCAGGAUAGCUGGAGCCCGGUGCAGUUUUAUCAGGUAAAGCGAAUGAUUAGAGGUCUUGGGGUUGAAACAACCUCAACCUAUUCUCAAACUUUAAAUGGGUAAGAAGCUCGGCUUGCUCGGUUGAAGUCGGGCGUGGGAAUGCCGGGGCUCCUAGUGGGCCAUUUUUGGUAAGCAGAACUGGCGAUGCGGGAUGAACCGAACGCCGGGUUAAGGUGCCCGAAUCGACGCUCAUCAGAUCCCAUAAAAGGUGUUGGUUGAUUCAGACAGCAGGACGGUGGCCAUGGAAGUCGGAAUCCGCUAAGGAGUGUGUAACAACU
RNAcentral lists this ribosomal RNA (657 nucleotides) under Endectyon delaubenfelsi. Its description in RNAcentral is "eukaryotic LSU rRNA". It matches the Rfam family "Eukaryotic large subunit ribosomal RNA", at positions 659 to 1290 of the family's 3401-position model. Lineage: Eukaryota; Metazoa; Porifera; Demospongiae; Axinellida; Raspailiidae. The record is from RNAcentral.